Podarcis lilfordi (Lilford's wall lizard) is the source of this 72-nucleotide non-coding RNA. NCBI's taxonomy places the organism in Eukaryota, Metazoa, Chordata, Lepidosauria, Squamata, Lacertidae. The record is from the annotation of a GenBank genome assembly.
GGGGCUGUAGCUCAGUGGCAGAGCAUCUGAUUUGCAUCCAGAUGAUUCCAGUUUCGAUUCCCAGCAGCCUCA